Molecule: transfer RNA, 74 nt
Filed under: Synechococcaceae cyanobacterium SM2_3_1
Lineage: Bacteria; Bacillati; Cyanobacteriota; Cyanophyceae; Synechococcales; Synechococcaceae
Description: tRNA-Met
Rfam family: tRNA
About the family: Transfer RNA (tRNA) molecules are approximately 80 nucleotides in length.
Source: RNAcentral
CGCGGGGUAGAGCAGUCUGGUAGCUCGUCGGGCUCAUAACCCGAAGGCCCAUGGUUCAAAUCCAUGCCCCGCCA